Molecule: long non-coding RNA, 231 nt
Filed under: Ananas comosus (pineapple)
Lineage: Eukaryota; Viridiplantae; Streptophyta; Magnoliopsida; Poales; Bromeliaceae
Description: long non-coding RNA (ACOM_LNC033326)
Source: RNAcentral
CGAGCAUGACUGUCAAAUUUGAGCUCAAACAGACAUUCAGAAGGGCAGGCGAAAAAUAUUUGUACCUGAGCUGAAAACUGAGGGUUGAAUAGUGUAUAGUUGAGGGGCUAAUUUGUAAAACGGACUUAAUCCCUUUGUUUCUUCUCCUCCCUCAACCGUGCAGCCACAACACCACACACACACAUACGCAUACAUGGAAGGAGAGAGAAACCUCCCUUUCUCUCUCUAGAU